Molecule: ribosomal RNA, 870 nt
Filed under: Paragyromitra xinjiangensis
Lineage: Eukaryota; Fungi; Ascomycota; Pezizomycetes; Pezizales; Discinaceae
Also listed under: 1 other name
Description: Gyromitra xinjiangensis partial large subunit ribosomal RNA
Rfam family: Eukaryotic large subunit ribosomal RNA
Source: RNAcentral
GGGAUUGCCUCAGUAACGGCGAGUGAAGCGGCAACAGCUCAAAUUUUAAAGCUGGCGUCUUUGACGCCCGCGUUGUAAUUUGGAGAGGCAUCUUCGGUUUGGGCGCCAGCCUAUGUUCCUUGGAACAGGACGUCACAGAGGGUGAGAAUCCCGUGCUUGGCUGGCUGUCCCUUUCCAUGUGAAGUGCCUUCGACGAGUCGAGUUGUUUGGGAAUGCAGCUCAAAAUGGGUGGUAAAUUCCAUCUAAAGCUAAAUAUUGGCGGGAGACCGAUAGCGCACAAGUAGAGUGAUCGAAAGAUGAAAAGCACUUUGAAAAUAGAGUUAAAAAGUACGUGAAAUUGUUGAAAGGGAAGCGCUUGAGACCAGACUCGGCCGGAGAUGAUCAGCCGUCCUUCUGGGCGGUGCACUUGUCUCCGGUCGGGCCAGCAUCGGUUGAGACGGCGGGAUAAAGGCCCGGGGAAUGUGGCUCCUUUCGGGGAGUGUUAUAGCCCCGGGCGCAAUGCCGCCAGCCUCGACCGAGGACCGCGCUUUUUGCUAGGAUGCUGGCGUAAUGGUCUUCAGCGACCCGUCUUGAAACACGGACCAAGGAGUCUAACAUCUAUGCGAGUGUUUGGGUGUCAAACCCUUGCGCGUAAUGAAAGUGAACGGAGGUGGGAACCCCUUCGCGGGGCGCACCAUCGACCGGUCCUGAUGUCUUCGGAUGGAUCUGAGUAGGAGCAUAGCUGUUGGGACCCGAAAGAUGGUGAACUAUGCCUGAAUAGGGUGAAGCCAGAGGAAACUCUGGUGGAGGCUCGCAGCGGUUCUGACGUGCAAAUCGAUCGUCAAAUUUGGGUAUAGGGGCGAAAGACUAAUCGAACCAUCUAGUAGCUGG